AUUGAACGCUGGCGGAAUGCUUUACACAUGCAAGUCGAGCGGCAGCGCGGGGCAACCUGGCGGCGAGCGGCGAACGGGUGAGUAAUGCAUCGGAACAUGUCCAUGUCGUGGGGGAUAGCCCGGCGAAAGCCGGAUUAAUACCGCAUAAGCCCGAGAGGGGAAAGCAGGGGACCGCAAGGCCUUGCGCGAUUGGGUUGGCCGAUGUCCGAUUAGCUUGUUGGUGAGGUAAAGGCUUACCAAGGCGAUGAUCGGUAGCUGGUCUGAGAGGAUGAUCAGCCACACUGGGACUGAGACACGGCCCAGACUCCUACGGGUGGCUG
This 320-nucleotide ribosomal RNA is filed under the name uncultured Pseudomonadota bacterium. Its description in RNAcentral is "bacterial SSU rRNA". It matches the Rfam family "Bacterial small subunit ribosomal RNA", at positions 30 to 351 of the family's 1533-position model. Lineage: Bacteria; Pseudomonadati; Pseudomonadota. The record is from RNAcentral.